ACGCCGUAAAACGAUGUCAACUAGCCGUUGGGACUCUUGAAGUCUUAGUGGCGCAGCCUAACGCACUAAGUUGACCGCCUGGGGAGUACGGCCGCAAGGUUAAAACUCAAAUGAAUUGACGGGGGCCCGCACAAGCGGUGGAGCAUGUGGUUUAAUUCGACGCAACGCGAAGAACCUUACCUGGCCUUGACAUCCAGAGAACUUUCCAGAGAUGGAUUGGUGCCUUCGGGAACUCUGAGACAGGUGCUGCAUGGCCGUCGUCAGCUCGUGUCGUGAGAUGUUGGGUUAAGUCCCGUAACGAGCGCAACCCCUAUCCCUGGUUGCUAGCAGGUAAUGCUGAGAACUCCAGGGAGACUGCCGGUGACAAACCGGAGGAAGGUGGGGAUGACGUCAGGUCAUCAUGGCCCUUACGGCCAGGGCUACACACGUGCUACAAUGGCGCGUACAGAGGGCUGCCAACUCGCGAGAGUGAGCCAAUCCCUUAAAACGCGUCGUAGUCCGGAUCGGAGUCUGCAACUCGACUCCGUGAAGUCGGAAUCGCUAGUAAUCGCGAAUCAGAAGAGCGAUUGCGG
This 572-nucleotide ribosomal RNA is filed under the name Marinobacter sp. Its description in RNAcentral is "bacterial SSU rRNA". It matches the Rfam family "Bacterial small subunit ribosomal RNA", at positions 797 to 1362 of the family's 1533-position model. The record is from RNAcentral. Lineage: Bacteria; Pseudomonadati; Pseudomonadota; Gammaproteobacteria; Pseudomonadales; Marinobacteraceae.